RNAcentral lists this ribosomal RNA (232 nucleotides) under uncultured bacterium. RNAcentral describes it as "partial 16S ribosomal RNA". It matches the Rfam family "Bacterial small subunit ribosomal RNA", at positions 118 to 351 of the family's 1533-position model. The record is from RNAcentral.
UGAGUAACCUGCCCCUCACUCUGGGAUAAGCACUGGAAACGGUGUCUAAUACCGGAUACGAACUUCGGCCGCAUGGUCAGGAGUUGGAAAGAAUUUUGGUGGGGGAUGGACUCGCGGCCUAUCAGCUUGUUGGUGAGGUAAUGGCUCACCAAGGCGACGACGGGUAGCCGGCCUGAGAGGGUGACCGGCCACACUGGGACUGAGACACGGCCCAGACUCCUACGGGAGGCAG